CCUACGGGUGGCAGCAGUGGGGAAUAUUGGACAAUGGGGGGAACCCUGAUCCAGCCAUGCCGCGUGUGUGAAGAAGGCCCUCGGGUUGUAAAGCACUUUCAGUGAGGAAGAACGCCUGGUGGUUAAUACCCAUCAGGAAAGACAUCACUCACAGAAGAAGCACCGGCUAACUCCGUGCCAGCAGCCGCGGUAAUACGGAGGGUGCGAGCGUUAAUCGGAAUUACUGGGCGUAAAGCGCGCGUAAGUGGCUUGAUAAGCCGGUUGUGAAAGCCCCGGGCUCAACCUGGGAACGGCAUCCGGAACUGUCAAGCUAGAGUGCAGGAGAGGAAAGUAGAAUUGCCGGUGUAGCGGUGAAAUGCGUAGAGAUCGGGAGGAAUACCAGUGGCGAAGGCGGCCUUCUGGACUGAAACUGACACUGAGGUGCGAAAGCGUGGGUAGCAAACAGGAUUAGAUACCCUGGUAGUC
This 465-nucleotide ribosomal RNA is filed under the name Vreelandella stevensii. RNAcentral's name for it is "partial 16S ribosomal RNA". It matches the Rfam family "Bacterial small subunit ribosomal RNA", at positions 338 to 795 of the family's 1533-position model. The record is from RNAcentral. Lineage: Bacteria; Pseudomonadati; Pseudomonadota; Gammaproteobacteria; Oceanospirillales; Halomonadaceae.